AGUGAACGCUGGCGGUAGGCCUAACACAUGCAAGUCGAACGGCAGCACAGGAGAGCUUGCUCUCUGGGUGGCGAGUGGCGGACGGGUGAGGACUACAUCGGAAUCUACUUUUUCGUGGGGGAUAACGUAGGGAAACUUACGCUAAUACCGCAUACGACCUGCGGGUGAAAGCAGGGGACCUUCGGGCCUUGCGCGAUUGAAUGAGCCGAUGUCAGAUUAGCUAGUUGGCGGGGUAAAGGCCCCCCAAGGCGACGAUCCGUAGCUGGUCUGAGAGGAUGAGCAGCCACGCUGGAACUGAGACACGGUCCAGACUCCUACGGGAGGCAGCAGUGGGGAAUAUGGGACAAUGGGCGCAAGCCUGAUCCAGCCAUACCGCGUGUGUGAAGAAGGCCUUCGGGUUGUAAAGCCCUUUUGUUGGGAAAGAAAUCCAGCUGGCUAAUACCCGGUUGGGAUGACGGUACCCAAAGAAUAAGCACCGGCUAACUUCGUGCCAGCAGCCGCGGUAA
RNAcentral lists this ribosomal RNA (506 nucleotides) under uncultured bacterium. RNAcentral's name for it is "partial 16S ribosomal RNA". It matches the Rfam family "Bacterial small subunit ribosomal RNA", at positions 29 to 523 of the family's 1533-position model. The record is from RNAcentral.